Molecule: ribosomal RNA, 488 nt
Filed under: uncultured bacterium
Lineage: Bacteria
Description: partial 16S ribosomal RNA
Rfam family: Bacterial small subunit ribosomal RNA
Source: RNAcentral
GACGAACGCUGGCGGCGUGCUUAACACAUGCAAGUCGAACGGAAAGGCCCUGCUUUUGUGGGGUGCUCGAGUGGCGAACGGGUGAGUAACACGUGAGUAACCUGCCCUUGACUUUGGGAUAACUUCAGGAAACGGGGGCUAAUACCGUAUAGGAGCUCCUGCUGCAGGGUGGGGGUGGGAAAGUCUCGGCGGGCGGGGAUGGACGCGCGGCUUAUUAGCUUGGUGGUGGGGGAGAGGCUCACCAAGGCGUCGACGGGUAGCUGGCCGGAGAGGGGGACCGGCCACAGUGGAACUGAGCCACGGUCCAGACUCCUACGGGAGGCAGCAGUGGGGAAUAUUGGACAAGGGGCGCAAGCCGGAUCCAGCCAUACCGCGUGGGUGAAGAAGGCCUUCGGGUUGUAAAGCCCUUUUGUUGGGAAAGAAAAGCAGCAGGUUAAUACCCCGCUGUUCUGACGGUACCCAAAGAAUAAGCACCGGCUAACUUCGUG